AGGGUGAUAGUUAAAUUAACAUUUAAGUUGCAUUUAAAAAAUACUAAAAAUAGUUCACCUU
RNAcentral lists this transfer RNA (61 nucleotides) under Endelus continentalis. Its description in RNAcentral is "tRNA-Ala". The record is from RNAcentral. Lineage: Eukaryota; Metazoa; Arthropoda; Insecta; Coleoptera; Buprestidae.